Peromyscus maniculatus bairdii (prairie deer mouse) is the source of this 72-nucleotide non-coding RNA. The record is from RefSeq and is a predicted model, not a curated record. NCBI's taxonomy places the organism in Eukaryota, Metazoa, Chordata, Mammalia, Rodentia, Cricetidae.
GAAAGGUAGCUGAACAUGAAAACAAGCAGUAAACAGUGUUCCCCCAUGGAUGCUGCUUCAGCUCCUGCUCUG